Pimephales promelas (fathead minnow) is the source of this 501-nucleotide non-coding RNA. NCBI's taxonomy places the organism in Eukaryota, Metazoa, Chordata, Actinopteri, Cypriniformes, Leuciscidae. The record is from RefSeq and is a predicted model, not a curated record.
AAUGCCCCAUCUUCAUGCAACAUAAAAGUCAACCUUGAUCAUGAAGCUCCUCCUUCCAUAUUUCACCUGCUGAGUUCAAGAAGGUUACAGAGGUCCACUGAAGUGCCUUGGAAUGCACAGCUUUGUAUGAUACAUGGACAUCAUUUCCACUGAAAAAGGCAGCUAAGGUGGGACGUAUUGAAUGGAUCUUCCCCUUUUUCAAAUGAAUAACCAAUAGCGUUUAGUUUACCUCACAGACUGCAAUCGUAUUGACAGCACCAUGGAGGCGAAUCCGAGCAUUGAUGAUACAUUGGAUUCAAUAGUAGAAGUGUGAAUAAAUUCUAGCCAUUUCAUUCCUAGUCAAUGUACAGUUGGGAAUUAAAAAAAGAAAGAAUAAAACUCGAGCAAACCAACUCACAUCUCUAACCAGUGGUGUAAUUUUGUUUUUAAAGUAGGUGGGACAAAUGUGUGGGAAGGAGGAGGUUGCUAUAGAAUGCUAAGAUAUACUGUAUAUGUGUACAA